UGCUAUUUUUUUUUUUUUUGGAUAAAAACAUUUGUUAUCCUUCUGAUCUUCUUAACUGCCUGUUCUCUGAUUGAUAGUUAUAAAAUUAAUCAAAAUGUUAUUACCCAAAAAAAGGUUGUUGGAGUUUUCUGCUUGAAGAAUAGAAAUUGAUGAUUAUUCUCUGGAUUGAUGCCUUAAAAUGAGAAGUGAUUACUCUUUUUCUUUUAGCCAUAGGUUAUCAUAACCAGGGUAGGUAAGGGUAGGUAAUUACAAAUUUGGAGAAAUAUCCAAGUCCAUUGCCUUUAAAAGAUCAUAUCUUGGGCCUAUCUAAUAAAAUUUCAUAUAUAAUAUGUGAAACCUUUUGUUGCAGGUGUUUACCAAGUAAGCAUAGA
This 371-nucleotide unclassified non-coding RNA is filed under the name Hevea brasiliensis (rubber tree). The record is from RNAcentral. Lineage: Eukaryota; Viridiplantae; Streptophyta; Magnoliopsida; Malpighiales; Euphorbiaceae.